RNAcentral lists this unclassified non-coding RNA (2084 nucleotides) under Channa asiatica (small snakehead). RNAcentral describes it as "partial contains 12S small subunit ribosomal RNA, tRNA-Val, and 16S large subunit ribosomal RNA". The stretch from base 648 to 2084 matches the Rfam family "Bacterial large subunit ribosomal RNA", at positions 1 to 2597 of the family's 2925-position model. Lineage: Eukaryota; Metazoa; Chordata; Actinopteri; Anabantiformes; Channidae. RNAcentral also lists the same sequence under 1 other name. The record is from RNAcentral.
GCUUAGCCAUAAACAUUGAUAGCACUUUACAUCCGCUAUUCGCCAGGGAACUACGAGCAUAAGCUUAAAACCCAAAGGACUUGGCGGUGCUUAAGAUCCACCUAGAGGAGCCUGUUCUAGAACCGAUAACCCCCGUUCAACCUCACCCUCCCUUGUUUCUCCCGCCUAUAUACCGCCGUCGUCAGCUUACCCUGUGAAGGUCUAAUAGUAAGCAAAAUUGGUACAACCCAAAACGUCAGGUCGAGGUGUAGCGUAUGAGAGGGGAAGAAAUGGGCUACAUUCACUACCAUAGUGAAUACGAAUGAUAUACUGAAACGUACAUCUAAAGGAGGAUUUAGCAGUAAGCAGAGAAUAGAGCGCUCCGCUGAAAUAGGCCCUAAAGCGCGCACACACCGCCCGUCACCCUCCCCUAACUCAACUUUAACAAUAAAUAAUACAUCAAAUACUGUUAAGGGGAGGCAAGUCGUAACAUGGUAAGUGUACCGGAAGGUGCACUUGGAAAAAUCAGAACGUAGCUAAGACAGGAAAGCAUCUCCCUUACACCGAGAAGUCAUCCGUGCAAACCGGAUCGUCCUGAACUAAACAGCUAGCCCCACCCCAUAAAAUCAAACCAUCAUCAUAAAUAAACCCUAAAAAACAAUAACCAAACCCAAUUAAAUCAUUUUUCCACCUAAGUACGGGAGACGGAAAAGGACCCAAAGAGCUAUAGAACAAGUACCGCAAGGGAACGCUGAAAGAGAAAUGAAACAACCCAGUAAAGUAAAAAGAAGCAGAGACUAAAUCUCGUACCUUUUGCAUCAUGAUUUAGCCAGUAAUCCCAAGCAAAGAGCACUUUAGUUUGAUACCCCGAAACUAAGUGAGCUACUCCAAGACAGCCUAUUUUAGGGCCAACCCGUCUCUGUGGCAAAAGAGUGGGAAGAGCUUCGAGUAGAGGUGAUAAACCUACCGAACUUAGUUAUAGCUGGUUGCCUAGAAAUUGAAUUUAAGUUCAGCCUCUCGCCUUCUUCAAUCACACAGUUUAUAAUGCCCUCUGUCACCAAAGAAGACGAAAGAGUUAGUCCAAUGGGGUACAGCCCAUUUGACCUAAGACACAACUUUUAGUGCAGGCUAAAGAUCAAACUACCAAAGGGAAUAUGUCUUAGUGGGCCUAAAAGCAGCCACCUAAGCAGAAAGCGUUAAAGCUCAGACAUACCACAAGCCCCCAAUAAUCCUGAUAAGACACUCUUAAGCCCCACCACAUUACUAGGCUGUUUCAUGCAAACAUGAAAGCACCAAUGCUAAUAUGAGUAAUAAGAGAGCACCACCCUCUCUCCAAGCACGCACAUAUAUCGGAACGGACCCCCCACCGAAAAUUACCGGCCCCAAACAAAGAGGGUAAUGUACAAUUAACAAAAAACUAGAAACCCAUACAAAAUAAACCGUUAAGCCCACACUGGCGUGCCACUAAGGAAAGACUAAAAGAAAAAGAAGGAACUCGGCAAACACCCAAGGCCUCGCCUGUUUACCAAAAACAUCGCCUCUUGUCUACUAAAAAUAAGAGGUCCUGCCUGCCCAGUGACAUUAAGUUCAACGGCCGCGGUAUUUUGACCGUGCAAAGGUAGCGCAAUCACUUGUCUUUUAAAUGAAGACCCGUAUGAAUGGCACAACGAGGGCCAAACUGUCUCCUUUUUCAGGUCAAUGAAAUUGAUCCCCCCGUGCAGAAGCGGGGAUUAGCACAUAAGACGAGAAGACCCUAUGGAGCUUUAGACACCAGAGCAGCCCUUGUUAAACCACCCUAAACAAAGGAAAAAACCAAACGGACCCUGCCCCCAUGUCUUUGGUUGGGGCGACCGCGGGGAACACAAAACCCCCAUGUGGAAUGGGAAAACACCUCCUAAAACCAAGAGCUACAGCUCUAAGCAAUAGAAUAUCUAACCAAAAGAUCCGGCAAAGCCGAUCAACGAACCGAGUUACCCUAGGGAUAACAGCGCAAUCCCCUUUUAGAGUCCAUAUCGACAAGGGGGUUUACGACCUCGAUGUUGGAUCAGGACAUCCUAAUGGUGCAGCCGCUAUUAAGGGUUCGUUUGUUCAACGAUUAAAGUCCU